GCCCCAUAUACUCUGCUGAUAGGCACCAGUGUUAAGUAUCAAGACACCAGCAUCAGUUGCUUUGACAAACAGACAGACUUCAGCUUACUGCUAUCUAGUGUGGUAGCC
Octopus sinensis (East Asian common octopus) is the source of this 108-nucleotide long non-coding RNA. RefSeq lists it as uncharacterized. Lineage: Eukaryota; Metazoa; Mollusca; Cephalopoda; Octopoda; Octopodidae. The transcript is spliced from 3 exons. The record is from RefSeq and is a predicted model, not a curated record.